CCUACGGGAGGCAGCAGUUAGGAAUCUUCCGCAAUGGGCGCAAGCCUGACGGAGCGACGCCGCUUGGAGGAGGAAGCCCUUCGGGGUGUAAACUCCUGAAACCCCGGGACGAAACCCCCGAUGAGGGGACGUGACGGUACCGGGGUAAGUAGCGCCGGCCGAACUCCGUGCCAGCAGCCGCGGUAAUACGGAGGGCGCGAGCGUUACCCGGAUUUACUGGGCGUAAAGGGCGUGUAGGCGGCCUGGGACGUCCCAUGUGAAAGGCCACGGCUCAACCGUGGAGGAGCGUGGGAUACGCUCAGGCUAGACGGUGGGAGAGGGUGGUGGAAUUCCCGGAGUAGCGGUGAAAUGCGCAGAUACCGGGAGGAACGCCGAUGGCGAAGGCAGCCACCUGGUCCACCCGUGACGCUGNGCGCGAG
Molecule: ribosomal RNA, 419 nt
Filed under: uncultured bacterium
Lineage: Bacteria
Description: bacterial SSU rRNA
Rfam family: Bacterial small subunit ribosomal RNA
Source: RNAcentral